This 314-nucleotide long non-coding RNA is filed under the name Trifolium pratense (red clover). Its description in RNAcentral is "long non-coding RNA (TPRA_LNC004397)". The record is from RNAcentral. Lineage: Eukaryota; Viridiplantae; Streptophyta; Magnoliopsida; Fabales; Fabaceae.
UCUGGAGAGGUCAUCUUAAGCUGAUUUAGUAGGAGCACAAUGAUGCAGAGAAUAGUGGUUCAGGGGAAACUAUUAUCCUGUUCUAGUAGCGUGUGUUCUGCAGAUACAAUAUAUCAAAUAUUAUUCUACAUUGACAUAUUAGUGUUUGAUGCUUGAUCAUUCACAUAGUACAAGUUGCAAAUUAACUCUCUACAGUCUACAAGGCAGUGAAAAUUGAGAUCCUGCCACAGGUUGGGAAGAGAACAAAAAUUGUAAAAUGUGAUUGUAAUACAGGUUAUAAGAUAAGAUCAUACAAAGUUUACAUAUGUGCAUAU